AAUGAACGCUGGCGGCAUGCCUUACACAUGCAAGUCGAACGGCAGCAUGACCUAGCUUGCUAGGUUGAUGGCGAGUGGCGAACGGGUGAGUAAUGCAUCGGAACGUGCCUUUUAGUGGGGGAUAACGUAGCGAAAGUUACGCUAAUACCGCAUAUUCUCUGAGGAGGAAAGCAGGGGACCUUCGGGCCUUGCGCUAGAAGAGCGGCCGAUGUCGGAUUAGCUAGUUGGUGAGGUAAAGGCUCACCAAGGCAACGAUCCGUAGCGGGUCUGAGAGGAUGAUCCGCCACACUGGGACUGAGACACGGCCCAGACUCCUACGGGAGGCAGCAGUGGGGAAUUUUGGACAAUGGGCGCAAGCCUGAUCCAGCCAUGCCGCGUGGGUGAAGAAGGCCUUCGGGUUGUAAAGCUCUUUCGGCUGGGAAGAAAUCGCACCCUCUAAUACAGGGUGUGGAUGACGGUACCAGCAUAAGAAGCACCGGCUAACUACGUG
Molecule: ribosomal RNA, 490 nt
Filed under: uncultured bacterium
Lineage: Bacteria
Description: partial 16S ribosomal RNA
Rfam family: Bacterial small subunit ribosomal RNA
Source: RNAcentral